ACGGGGUGCAGCAGGCGCGAAAACUUUGCAAUGUGCGAAAGCACGACAAGGUUAAUCCGAGUGGUUUCUGCUAAAGGAACCUUUUGACAGUCCUAGAAACACUGUUGAAUAAGGGGUGGGCAAGUUCUGGUGUCAGCCGCCGCGGUAAAACCAGCACCUCAAGUGGUCAGGAUGAUUAUUGGGCCUAAAGCAUCCGUAGCCGGCUCAGUAAGUUUUCGGUUAAAUCUGUACGCUCAACGUACAGGCUGCCGGGAAUACUGCAGAGCUAGGGAGUGGGAGAGGUAGACGGUACUCGGGAGGAAGUGGUAAAAUGCUUUGAUCUUUCGAUGACCACCUGUGACGAAGGCGGUCUACCAGAACACGUCCGACGGUGAGGGAUGAAAGCUGGGGGAGCAAACCGGAUUAGAUACCCGGGUAGUCCCAGCUGUAAACUAUGCAAACUCAGUGAUGCAUUGGCUUGUGGCCAAUGCAGUGUUGCAGGGAAGCCGUUAAGUUUGCCGCCUGGAAGUACGUACGCAAGUA
RNAcentral lists this ribosomal RNA (522 nucleotides) under uncultured archaeon. RNAcentral describes it as "bacterial SSU rRNA". It matches the Rfam family "Archaeal small subunit ribosomal RNA", at positions 325 to 849 of the family's 1478-position model. The record is from RNAcentral.